This 115-nucleotide non-coding RNA is filed under the name Halalkalibacter akibai. Its description in RNAcentral is "Bacillus akibai TPP sequence". It matches the Rfam family "TPP riboswitch aptamer (THI element)". Rfam says of the family: Vitamin B(1) in its active form thiamin pyrophosphate (TPP) is an essential coenzyme that is synthesised by coupling of pyrimidine and thiazole moieties in bacteria. Lineage: Bacteria; Bacillati; Bacillota; Bacilli; Caryophanales; Bacillaceae. The record is from RNAcentral. RNAcentral also lists the same sequence under 1 other name.
AGUAAUAACUAGGGGUGUCCAAUGAGUUGGGCUGAGAGAUAAACAUGCAGAAGUUUAUUGACCCUUUGGACCUGAUCUGGCUCAUACCAGCGUGGGGAAGUUUAUGACAUUACAG